This 3889-nucleotide long non-coding RNA is filed under the name Elaeis guineensis (African oil palm). RNAcentral's name for it is "long non-coding RNA (EGUI_LNC058390)". Lineage: Eukaryota; Viridiplantae; Streptophyta; Magnoliopsida; Arecales; Arecaceae. The record is from RNAcentral.
AUAUACUACGGCCUCAAGAGCAUAUCCCCAGAAGGAUAGCAGAAGAUUCGUGAAACACAUCAUGGACCGCACCAUAUCUAAUAAGGUGCGAUUCCUCCUUUCUACAAUUCUAUUUCAUUGUGAAGUAUAAGGAGGUAUCCACUGAGAGAGUAUUUUAUUUUAUUUUAAAUGAUCAAGAAACUCACUAAACAAAUAUUCUCCUCCUUGAUCAGAUCGAAGAGCUUUAAUACUUUUAUCAGUUUGUCUCUCAACAAUACUUUGAUACUUUUUAAAUUUAUCAAAGGCUUCAAAUUUGUAUUUCAUUAAAUACACAUAUCCAAACCUAGACCUAUCAUCAGUAAAUGUGAUGAAGUAAGAACAUCCACCUCUAGCUUGAGUCAAUAUUGGACCACAUACAUCAGUAUGUACAAAGUCUAAUAUGUCACUUGCCCUUUUUUUUAUGUCCAGUAAAUGGAGUCUUGGUCAUUUUAUCCAUGAGGUAAGAUUUACAAGUUCCAUAUGAUUCAUAAUCAUAAGAACCAAAGAAUUUAUCUUUGUAUAACUUGUUAAUUCUCGACUCAUUUAUAUGGCUAAGUCGAUAGUGCCAGAAGUAUGCGACAUUCACAUCCUCUCUCUUUUUUUUUUUCAUAUUAUCAAUAUGAAAUACAUUAUCAUUAAGUGAAAGAAACAAAAGACCAUUAUCAACAUAAGCACUCCCAUAAUAUUUAUUAGAAAAAUAUAUAGAACAACCAUUGUUCUUUACAUUUAUUUCAAAAUCUUGUUCCAAUAAUAAUGGUACAGAAACAAUAUUUCUAACAAUAUUAGGGAUAUAAAAAUAGAUCUUCAGUUCCAAAACUUUAUCUGAAAGCAACUUUAAAACCCCGAUUCCUAUGGCUUCGGCCUGUAUAGACUCUCCACUGGUGUCGAACAGCUCGAAGUCACCUUUAUUCAGACUCUUUAUUUCCUGUAGACCUGCAACGAUUUGCAAAGGUGUGAGCCACAGGCAGUAUCUAAUAUCCAAGAAUCUGAAAAUGAAGUACUUAAAGAUAAGUUAGUUUAUAUCAUAUACAAACCUUUAGCAACAUUUGUCGGUUUCACAGUUGCAAGGUACUCCUUGCAAUUUCUCUUUCAGUGGCUCUUCUUGCCACAGUCAUAGCAAGUACCUUUGGCGGAGAUCUUCUUCGCCUUCUUUUUGGAUAUGCCAGCCUUAGGAUUCAUCUUUUUCUUAAAAUCUUUCUUUGCCUUCUUCUUGUUGAUCUUAUCAACAAGAAGUACCAGAGCCUUUUCACCCUUGAAAUGGCUCUCUGCUAUCUUUAGCAUGUUCAGCAGCUCAGGCAGGCUGAUGUUCAGUUUGUUCAUAUGAUAAUUUAUAACAAACUGAGAAAAAGAGUUAGAGAGAGACUACAGGAUCAAAUCCUGGCUCAGUUCCCCAUUUAUGGCAAAGUCCAGUUAUCCCAGAUGAGUGAUCAAAUCAAUCAUCUUCAGGAUAUGCAUUUGCACAGAGGUGCUUUCAAUCAUGCGGGCAUGGAAUAACUGCUUUGAUAUCUCAUAUCAAGCAAUUCGACUUUGUUCUCCAUUUAACUCCUUAAGAUUAAGGAGUAUAGAAAGAACAUCCAUGUCCUCAUACUACCUCAGAAGAUCGUUGCUCAUGAAGACAAGCAUGAUACAUUUGACAGUCAUACUAUCAUCUUUUCAUAUCUUGUAUGUGACUCUUUCCUCCUUGGAAGCAUCUUUCCCAAGAAAAUCUAGUGCAGGUGUGUCCAGAAUAUAGGAGACUUUCUCCAGAGUGAGAACAAUUCUCAGGUUCCUUAACCAGUCUAUGUAGUUAGGUUCGAUCAAUUUGUUUGUAUCUAGGAUGUCUCUAAGUGACAAUGAUGAUGCCAUAUGUGUAGUUAAUCUACAAUAACAAAUUACAAUAUAAGUGGAUGACUCAUGAUGACAUCCACAACUAGAUUAAAAUUUUUGUCUAAUUAUGUCUCCCAUUAUUUUAUCGAACUUCAUAGCCCUCAUCUAUGAAAAUCAAGAAACAUACUAAUAUUUCUUAGUGAGAUUGAGAUCCCUAUUCCUCACAAACACCUUAUGGAUAGCACAACAAGUAUUCAUAGGUUCAAGAGUAGGUAACUCUUUACCAAUUGUACCUCUACAAUUCUCAAUAUUUUUCUUUCUGAUCUUUAGAUCACAUAUAGCCUUGUGGAUAGCACAACAAACUAUAGUUCUCUAAUUAAGUUGACCUUUCAAUCCCAUAUGAUCAUACUUAAAUAAUGUUGUCCUUAUAAAUAGCACAACAAAGCAAUACAAUUCAAAAUAUGCUAUAAGCAUCAAAAUAUACUUGAUCAACANNNNNNNNNNNNNNNNNNNNUUUUAGGAGACAUCUUCUUAGAGAGCUGUAUGCCAUGACCUAUGGGCAAGUAACCUUUUUUACUUUCCUCUAUGUUGAACCUCUUCAACACAAGGUCAAUAUACCUAGAUUGGGACAAGCCUAACAUCUUUUUUGAUCUAUCCCUAUAGAUCUUUAUACCAAGUAUAUAGAAUGCUUCACCCAAGUCUUUCAUAGAAAACUUUUGUGAUAGCCAAGUCUUGACCGAUUGCAACAUCGGGAUAUCAUUCCCAAUGAUAGUAUGUCAUCCACGUACAAGACUAAGAAGACAAUAGUACUCCCACUAGUCUUCUUUACACACAAAGUUCAUCCAUAUUUUUGAUGAAGCUAAAUGAUUUGACUGUCUCAUCAAAAUACAUGUUCCAGCUACUCGAUGCUUGCUUUAAUCCAUAAAUGGAUCUAUUCAGUUUGCAUACCUCAUUUGCUCUCCUACUAGAGACAAAUUCCUCUGGAUGAGUCAUAUAGACUUCUUCCUUAAGAUUUUCAUUGAGGAAAGUAGUCUUGACAUCCAUCUGCUAGAUCUCAUAGUCAUGGUAUGCUGUAAUAGCAAGCAUUAUCUGAAUAGACUUGAGCAUGGCUACCGGUGAAAAGAUUUCUUCAUAAUCAAUACCUUAUUUUUAUCUGAAACCUCUUACCACCAGCCUGACCUUAUAGGUCUCUACCUGGCCAUCUGCUCCAAUCUCCUUUUUGAAGAUCCAUUUGCAGCCUAUUGGGGUCACACCCUCAAGCACAUCAAUCAAAAUUCAAACUUGGUUGGUAUACAUGGAGUCCAUUUCGGAUUUCAUGGUAUUGAGCUAUUUGUCAGAGUUACUACUCAUGACAGCUUUCGAAUAGAUCAUAGGAUCAUCAUUCUCAAUGAUGUGGGAUGUAUUAUCAUUCUCAAUGACAAAUCUAUACCUAAGUGGUACAUUACGCACUCUACUUGACCUUUGAAGAGGAGGUGUAUGUAGUGGCUAUACCUCAACUAUGGGCACAUCUAGUUGAGAAACAGUUUGUGAAUCCUGGAUGGAUUGUAGGUUUCGAACUUUCUCAAGUUCAACCAUCCUUCCACUGCCUCCUUCUUGAAUAAACUCUUUCUCCAAGAAAACAGCAUGCCUACCAACAAACACCUUUUGUUGAGUAAGGUUAUAGAAGUAGUAUCCUAUAUUCUCUUUGGGAUAACUUACAAACCUGUAUUUUUCUGAUCUAGAAUCUAGCUUAUGUCCAUCAACAUUUUUCACAUAAGCUGGGCAAUCCCAAAUCUUAAGAUGCUUAAGAUUAAGUUUUUUUCAUUUCUAUAUUUCAUAUGGAAUGCUAGAAAUAGAUUUAGAAGAUAUUUUAUUUAAGAUAUAUACUACGGCCUCAAGAGCAUAUCCCCAGAAGAAUAGCAGAAGAUUCAUGAAACACAUCAUGGACCGCACCAUAUCUAAUAAGGUGCGAUUCCUCCUUUCUACAAUUCUAUUUCAUUGUGAAGUAUAAGGAGGUAUCCACUGAGAGAGUAUUCUAUUUUAUUUUAAAUGAUCAAGAAACUCACUAAACAAAUAUUCUCCUCCU